UCAGUCCAGCGGUAACAGAUCUAGCUUGCUAUAUGCUGACGAGCGGCGGACGGGUGAGUAAUGCAUAGGAAUCUGCCCGGUAGUGGGGGAUAACCUGGGGAAACCCAGGCUAAUACCGCAUACGUCCUACGGGAGAAAGGGGGCUUCGGCUCCCGCUAUUGGAUGAGCCUAUGUCGGAUUAGCUAGUUGGUGAGGUAAAGGCUCACCAAGGCAACGAUCCGUAGCUGGUCUGAGAGGAUGAUCAGCCACAUCGGGACUGAGACACGGCCCGAACUCCUACGGGAGGCAGCAGUGGGGAAUAUUGGACAAUGGGGGCAACCCUGAUCCAGCCAUGCCGCGUGUGUGAAGAAGGCCCUCGGGUUGUAAAGCACUUUCAGCGAGGAAGAACGCCUAGUGGUUAAUACCCAUUAGGAAAGACAUCACUCGCAGAAGAAGCACCGGCUAACUCCGUGCCAGCAGCCGCGGUAAUACGGAGGGUGCAAGCGUUAAUCGGAAUUACUGGGCGUAAAGCGCGCGUAGGUGGCUUGAUAAGCCGGUUGUGAAAGCCCCGGGCUCGACCUGGGAACGGCAUCCGGAACUGUCAGGCUAGAGUGCAGGAGAGGAAGGUAGAAUUCCCGGUGUAGCGGUGAAAUGCGUACAGAUCGAGAGGAAUACCAGUGGCGAAUGCGGCCUUCUGGACUGACACUGACACUGAGGUGCGAAAGCGUGGGUAGCGAACAGGAUUAGAUGCCCUGGUAGU
RNAcentral lists this ribosomal RNA (739 nucleotides) under Vreelandella boliviensis. RNAcentral's name for it is "bacterial SSU rRNA". It matches the Rfam family "Bacterial small subunit ribosomal RNA", at positions 58 to 794 of the family's 1533-position model. The record is from RNAcentral. Lineage: Bacteria; Pseudomonadati; Pseudomonadota; Gammaproteobacteria; Oceanospirillales; Halomonadaceae.